RNAcentral lists this ribosomal RNA (460 nucleotides) under uncultured bacterium. RNAcentral describes it as "partial 16S ribosomal RNA". It matches the Rfam family "Bacterial small subunit ribosomal RNA", at positions 338 to 795 of the family's 1533-position model. The record is from RNAcentral.
CCUACGGGUGGCAGCAGUGAGGAAUAUUGGUCAAUGGGCGCGAGCCUGAACCAGCCAAGUAGCGUGAAGAAUGACUGCCCUACGGGUUGUAAACUUCUUUUAUAAAGGAAUAAAGUGAGGCAUGUGUGCCUUUUUGUAUGUACUUUAUGAUUAAGGAUCGGCUAACUCCGUGCCAGCAGCCGCGGUAAUACGGAGGAUCCGAGCGUUAUCCGGAUUUAUUGGGUUUAACGGGAGCGUAGGUGGGUUGUUAAGUCAGUUGUGAAAGUUUGCGGCUCAACCGUAAAAUUGCAAUUGAUACUGGCAGCCUUGAGUACAGUUGAGGUAGGCGGAAUUCGUGGUGUAGCGGUGAAAUGCUUAGAGAUCAAGAAGAACUCCGAUUGCGAAGGCAGCUUACUAAACUGCCACUGACAUUGAUGCUCGAAAGUGUGGGUAUCAAACAGGAUUAGAUACCCCAGUAGUC